AGCUUUUUGAAUCCGUGCUGAGAUUUCGUCAGACAUCAACCCAUUAGGGCUGAUUAGACUUACUAGAUAAGUGAAGUU
Molecule: non-coding RNA, 78 nt
Organism: Schistosoma mansoni
Lineage: Eukaryota; Metazoa; Platyhelminthes; Trematoda; Strigeidida; Schistosomatidae
Source: Rfam